RNAcentral lists this ribosomal RNA (201 nucleotides) under uncultured fungus. Its description in RNAcentral is "partial 28S ribosomal RNA". It matches the Rfam family "Eukaryotic large subunit ribosomal RNA", at positions 1 to 197 of the family's 3401-position model. Lineage: Eukaryota; Fungi. The record is from RNAcentral.
UUGAUCUCAAAUCAGGUAGGACUACCCGCUGAACUUAAGCAUAUCAAUAAGCGGAGGAAAAGAAACUAACAAGGAUUCCCCUAGUAACUGCGAGUGAAGCGGGAAGAGCUCAAAUUUAAAAUCUGGCGUGCCUAUGGUCGUCCGAGUUGUAGUCUGGAGAAGUGUUUUCCGUGUUGGACCGUGUAUAAGUCUCUUGGAACA